GAUGAACGCUGGCGGCGUGCCUAAUACAUGCAAGUCGAGCGAACAGACGAGGAGCUUGCUCCUCUGACGUUAGCGGCGGACGGGUGAGUAACACGUGGAUAACCUACCUAUAAGACUGGGAUAACUUCGGGAAACCGGAGCUAAUACCGGAUAAUAUAUUGAACCGCAUGGUUCAAUAGUGAAAGACGGUUUUGCUGUCACGUAUAGAUGGAUCCGCGCCGCAUUAGCUAGUUGGUAAGGUAACGGCUUACCAAGGCAACGAUGCGUAGCCGACCUGAGAGGGUGAUCGGCCACACUGGAACUGAGCCACGGUCCAGACUCCUACGGGAGGCAGCAGUAGGGAAUCUUCCGCAAUGGGCGAAAGCCUGACGGAGCAACGCCGCGUGAGUGAUGACGGUCUUCGGAUCGUAAAACUCUGUUAUUAGGGAAGAACAAAUGUGUAAGUAACUAUGCACGUCUUGACGGUACCUAAUCAGAAAGCCACGGCUAACUACGUG
RNAcentral lists this ribosomal RNA (497 nucleotides) under uncultured bacterium. Its description in RNAcentral is "partial 16S ribosomal RNA". It matches the Rfam family "Bacterial small subunit ribosomal RNA", at positions 28 to 507 of the family's 1533-position model. The record is from RNAcentral.